This 402-nucleotide ribosomal RNA is filed under the name uncultured bacterium. RNAcentral's name for it is "bacterial SSU rRNA". It matches the Rfam family "Bacterial small subunit ribosomal RNA", at positions 355 to 774 of the family's 1533-position model. The record is from RNAcentral.
UGGGGGAUAUUGCACAAUGGGGGAAACCCUGAUGCAGCGACGCCGCGUGAAGGAUGAAGUAUUUCGGUAUGUAAACUUCUAUCAGCAGGGAAGAAAAUGACGGUACCUGACUAAGAAGCCCCGGCUAACUACGUGCCAGCAGCCGCGGUAAUACGUAGGGGGCAAGCGUUAUCCGGAUUUACUGGGUGUAAAGGGAGCGUAGACGGAGAGGCAAGUCUGAUGUGAAAGGCCGGGGCUCAACCCCGGGACUGCAUUGGAAACUGUUUAUCUAGAGUGUCGGAGAGGCAAGUGGAAUUCCUAGUGUAGCGGUGAAAUGCGUAGAUAUUAGGAGGAACACCAGUGGCGAAGGCGGCUUGCUGGACGAUGACUGACGUUGAGGCUCGAAAGCGUGGGGAGCAAACA